UACGUAGGAGGCGAGCGUUGUCCGGAUUUACUGGGCGUAAAGCGCGCGCAGGCGGCACACUAAGUACGAUGUGAAAUCUCCCUGCUCAACGGGGAGGGUGCAUAGUAAACUGGUGAGCUAGAGGACGGUAGAGGAGAAUGGAAUUCCUGGUGUAGCGGUGAAAUGCGCAGAUAUCAGGAAGAACACCCGUGGCGAAGGCGGUUCUCUGGGACGGUACUGACGCUGAGACGCGAAAGCGUGGGGAGCGAACAGG
Molecule: ribosomal RNA, 253 nt
Filed under: uncultured bacterium
Lineage: Bacteria
Description: partial 16S ribosomal RNA
Rfam family: Bacterial small subunit ribosomal RNA
Source: RNAcentral